Molecule: long non-coding RNA, 21623 nt
Filed under: Vitis vinifera (wine grape)
Lineage: Eukaryota; Viridiplantae; Streptophyta; Magnoliopsida; Vitales; Vitaceae
Description: long non-coding RNA (VVIN_LNC002074)
Source: RNAcentral
CCUUCUUGGCCGGUAACGGGGACUACGUGAAAGGUGUUGUUGGGUUAGCCAAGGGGCUGCGGAAGGUGAAAUCCGCUUACCCGCUUGUGGUGGCGGUGUUACCGGACGUGCCGGUGGAGCACCGCCGAGAACUGGAAUCCCAGGGGUGCAUCGUCAGAGAGAUUGAGCCGGUUUACCCACCCGAGAACCAGACCCAGUUCGCCAUGGCCUAUUACGUUAUCAAUUAUUCAAAGCUCCGUAUCUGGGAGGUACGUGAUAGUACUUUCUCAUUACCUCUAUCACUAUUUUUGUCAUUUUGCAUGAAUCUUUGCAUGAUUUGUAGAUUUACAUGCCAUUUUUGUAUGAAUCAGUUCGUGGAGUACAGUAAGAUGAUAUACUUGGAUGGGGAUAUUCAAGUCUACGAUAACAUUGACCACCUCUUUGAGCUACCAGACGGACAUUUCUAUGCAGUGAUGGACUGUUUCUGUGAGAAAACAUGGAGUCACACGCCACAGUACAAGAUUGGAUACUGCCAACAGUGUCCGGAAAAGGUUCAGUGGCCAGCGGAGCUGGGUCAGCCGCCUUCACUUUACUUCAACGCAGGCAUGUUCGUGUUUGAGCCCAGCCUCUCCACCUAUGAAGAUCUCUUGGAAACCCUCAGGAUCACCCCUGCAACCCCUUUUGCAGAGCAGGUAAACACAUAAGCUUUUGCUGAUGAUAUUCUUCCAACAUAAUCCGGUUGUGGUUCUGGGAUUUUGUUAUUUAGGAAAAUGUGUAUGUGUUUUUGGCAGGAUUUCUUGAAUAUGUACUUCAGCGAUGUAUAUAAGCCUAUUCCUCUGGUCUACAAUCUUGUCCUUGCCAUGCUGUGGCGGCAUCCUGAGAAUGUAGAGCUUGAUAAAGUGAAAGUUGUUCACUACUGUGCAGCGGUGAGUACCAAAGAAGAUUGAUUUUGGGAGAUUAAUUCGCAAGUUAUAACCUGUGGUGGUUAUGUAUACUAAUACAAAUAUUUGUGAACGGUAUACCAGGGGUCGAAGCCAUGGAGGUACACAGGGAAGGAGGACAACAUGCAGAGAGAGGACAUUAAGAUGCUGGUAAACAAAUGGUGGGAGAUAUACAAUGACAAGUCAUUGGAUUACAAGAAGACGAGGAUGAUGGCGAAUGAUUACAGCAGUGUUUUGCCGGGGGAGCAGGUGAAUUUGGAGCCGUUCAUUGCAGCUCUUUCCGAGGUGGGGCAUGUUGAAUUUGUGAGAGCCCCUUCAGCAGCCUAGAAGAGGCCAGUACUCUCGUGGAGAAGAGGAUCCAAGGGGCAUGCAAGCAGAUGACCGGUGAAUUUCCAUUUUCGAGAUGAAAAUGUUGGUUAUUUUUGUGGUUUGGGGGUUUGUCACGGUUAGUGAAUUUUUACGUUGUUCACUUGUAAUAUCCUUAAUGAUUGCCCACUACAAGGCAAAUUACUUCCAGUCAUACAUAAAAUCUCAAAGACACUCUGUUUUAUCUGCUGUUGAACUCUGUUUUUUUUUUUUUUUUUGCUCUUUUUCUCCCUCCUUUUUCUUUUUAUUUAUUUAUUUUCUUUGGGAAAUGGAAUUGAAAUACGUGGGACAAGAAUCGUAUAGGCUUAUUUGAGACAACAAAACAUCCACCCAGUCCCAGUCGCGGACCUGUUAUGGUGAAGGCAAGUUGAUUAAGGACGGUACAGCAGGGCACUUAAUUAUGGCUAGGUUAUAUCCCAACUUGUGGGUAGAAAAAAAAGGGUAAUAUUAAAAUGAGAACCAAUUUAAAAAGCAUUUUUGAAUUUAAUUUAAUUUUAAUUUAUUUGUUAUUUAUAAUUUUGAAGUUAAUUUUAACUUAUUUAUUAAGAGGAAAAAUUAUACUUAUAAGAAGGAUUAAAUGUACAUAAAAAAAAAUAUUCGUAUGUGAAAAGAAAAGAAAUAUUGAAAAAUAGUAAGAAAACUUUAUUUUAGGCAUAACUAAUGAUUGGUUGAAAGUUUUCAUUAUCAUUCUCAUUUGACAUUUCUUUUUACCAUAUAAGUGAUUUGAUUUGAAUGGAAAGUUGGAUACUAGAUCUUUAAGGAUAAGGAAGGAGAUUAAUUUAAUCAGAUUUCUUUUUAUCUCUUUUACUUUUUUAAAUUAAAAGAAAAUAAAAAAAAUAGAGAGAAAAAAAUAAAAGAAAUAAAAAAUAGAUUUAAAAUUAAUAAAUUAUUUUUAUAUAUAUUUUAAAACUCAUUUCACUUAUUUCCUAUAUAAUUUUAAAAUAUAUAAAUUAUUAAUUAAUUUUAAUUAUAUUUAUUUUUUUUAUAAUGAAACUAAAAAUUAAAAAAAAUAUUAUAUAUAAGGGUGGAGGUUAAUUUAAUUACAUCUUUUCUUAAUUUAUUUUAAAUUUUUAUCUGCUUAGUUUUAAUAUUGAGGGAAAAUACUAAAAAAAGAAAAGAAAAAAUAAAAAAAUAAAAAAGAAAAUUAGAAAAUAAUUUUAAAAUUAAUAAAUUAUUUUUAUGUGUUUUUUCAAAGUUAUUUCACAUGUUUCUCUAUGUAAUAUAAGGAUUAAAUAAAUUUUAAAUAUUUUAAAUUUAAUUAUAAUUGAUUUUUUUAUAUAACAAAAUUAAAUAUAAAAAAUCAUUUUUCUUAAUAUUUUAUUUUAUUUUUAUUGUUUUUUGUUUAGUAUGCAGAAGCUCUCAUUCCACUUGUGUCGGCAAAAACAUCAUUGUAAAUAUAUUAAAAGAAAAACAUAAAAAAUAAAGCAAAUCACGUAAAAGGUACACAAAGUUUUAAUAUGAUUUGAUCAAUUAUGACUAUUUUCACCAAUGAGAAAGAACAUUUUAUCAUAUGAUAGAAAAUAUUAUAAAGAACAAAAAUCUAAAAAAAUACAAUUACGAGAUCUCUAUCUUAAAAUAUGAGCCGUUUUACUUCAUUAAAUGUUUUUUUUUUUCAUCACAUUUACUUCCCAGUAAACCCCCUUUCUCUACUAGAUGUAUGUCGUUCUUUCUCAUAUUUUUAUUCCAUCUCUCUCAUAACUUUUUUUUAAAAUAAAAUAUUUAUAAAGAUAUUUCUAUUAACUUCGUAAGAAUCUAAUUAUUAUCACAUAUAAAUUAAAAAAUAUUAUAUAUAAUAUUUCUUUUACAAAUAUAUUCCCCAUCACUUUCCCGCCAAACAUAGGAUAAAUGAUGCUCUUUAUGUCCUAAUCUUUCCAAACUUUCAAGUAUUCUUUUACUUAGAAAUUACAAAUUUGAUACAAAUUGGGCCACCAUUUGAGAGUCCAAUCCCUCCAGCCAGAUUUAUAGGUGAGUUUAACUUGAAUUGAAGAAGUAGGAAUGUAAAAAUACUGGGAUUGACAUGAAUUCAAGAUCAGAAAACCCCCGAAAGCCAAAUCCAGCACAUUAUUGAUUUAUUUUUAUUUUAUUAUAAUAUAAAAAACAUAAAUUAUAAAAAAACAUAAAUUAUAAAAAAACACUAACUUUCUUAAUUUUUAAUUACAUUUUAAUUAUUAAAAUAUCUUUAAUAGUUAUAGUUAAAGUUUGAGCUUAUGAAUAAUUAUUUAUGUUAAAAUAAUAAUUAAUAAUUUACAGUUUUGACACCUUUUUGUUUUUUGACUUGAAGAAAAAAAAUAGUAGUAACUUAUAUAAAAAAUGAAAAAUUUUAUUAAAAAAAAUUAAACUUAUUUCAUGUCUUUAAAAAAUUACUUUUAGAAAUGUAAGUUAAAUAGAUUUUAAAAACUAUAAUUUUUCUUUAAUAUAAGUUGUUAUUUUUUAUAGGUUGAAUAUAACAUGAAAUAGGACAAGAUAAUAUAUCAUAUCUCAUUUUUUAUUGGUAAUAUUAGGGGUGCAACUUGUACGGGUUGGUUUGACCCAAUUGGAACCCAAUCCAAUGUUUGGGUGAACUUAGGCAAAUAUUUCCAUUACUUGAGUUAAACUUGAAUUAAGUUUUUUCAACUCGAAUUCAAUUUGAAUUGGAUCCAAGCUAAGGUUUAAAAAACUCGAGGAUAACUCGAACUUGAUUUAAUAUUUUUAUGAUAUUUAUAAUGUUAAUGUUUAUUAUUUUAAAUGAUAAUAUUCAUUUUCUUUUUAAUUUUGGAAGAAAAAAAUAUCAAAUUAUAAUUAUAUCACACAGUUAUUACUUUUUAAAAAAGAUAUAUAAGUUUAUUUUUACUUUUUUUUAUUAUCUUGAAAUUUUGUGCUAUUUAUUAUUUAAAUUUUGAUAUAAAUAUAUAGAAAAUAAGUUUUUUUAAAAACUAUUAUAGAUGAAUUUUAAAUCUUUCAGCACAAUGAAUCCAAAUAAUUUGAGUCUAACUCAAUCAACUCGAGUUUAACCCAAUCAACUCGAUCAACUUGAGAUCAACUUGAAUUUAGAAAAUAAGGUUAGGCUAGGCUUGGGUUAAGUACUUUGGGUUAGAGGACGAGUUAUGUUAACCUUAACUUGAUUCUUUCUUAAUUUGUGUUGGAUUUGAGUUAGCUAUUAACUCAACCAACUCGCCCAAGUUGCCAUCCAAGUUGCAGCCCCAAGUAAUAUUUUAGGAUAAGUUAUCUUAUCAUAUUUCAUAUAUUAUAUCUUAUAUUUAACAAAAUAGGAUAUUUAACAAAAUAUGCGUUUGGUAUAAAAUAGGUAGUAAGAUACUUUGGUAUAAAAUAGGUAGUAAGAUACUAAGAUAAAAUGUCUUUUUUCUCUUUUUAUUUUUUUUCUUUUAUACAUAUUAAUUUUAAAUAAUACUCUUUAUUUAUUUAUUAUAAUAUCUAAUGGACACUACAAAACGUUGUAUAGAUCACCUAGUAAAAUGAAAAUAUUAAAUCAAAUUAAAAGUGUGUUCAACUAUUAUUUUAGAAAGUAUUUCUAAUUUUUCUAAGAUUUCAGUAUUAAAUAUAUUAGAAGCAUUUCUUAAAAUCAUUGUGAAAUAAACUCUAAUUUAUAUAUUUAAAAAUCACUUUUAUAAAUUUUAAAAUUUAAGUUACUAAAAUUCUUUUGAUGUCUUAAUUUUUUAAAUAAUUUUUAAAACUUUUAUUUAUUUUUAAAUAAAAGGAAAUCUAUUAGUUUUUGGAUCUUCCCAUAUUGUUUACCAUUAACAGCCAUGAGGCGUUACCUCUUUUUUUUUUUUUUUUUAAUCGUGAAGUUCGAUUGACGUGUAAUUCUGCUUAAAAUAAAUUAAGUGUAUGUUUAACAAAAAAUUUUAAAAGUAUUUUUAAUUUAAAAGGUAUUUAAAAAAAAACAUAAGAUGAAAUUACUUAUAAUGUUAUUUGGUGAAACAUUUUAUAGAUAUAUUCUUUUAAAAAAUAUUAAGAAAAUACUUUCAUUUUAAAACAUGGAGAACAUUCUUAAAUGUGCUUUAUUUAAUUUCUAUUUUUUAAAAAAUUAAAAUUUAUUUUUUAAAUAAAAAUAGGAGAAUCCGACAUUUUUAUUAGCUAUAGAAUACUCUUUUUGUAAUAGAAAUGAUAAUAAGAUGAGUUUUUCUUUUGUUUUUCUUUUAUUUUUUAUUUUAUCUAUCCUGCCCUAAUGGAACAUGUUUAAAAUUUAAAUAAAUAAGUUGGAAAUAAGUUUGAGAUUUUUUAAAAAAUAUAUAACAGAUUUGGGUGUUAAGUCCUUAUACUCAUAUUAUGUACAAAAUUAAUUUACUUUAAUUUUAAAUUUUUUAUUUUUAAUAUGUAACAAUAAUAAAAAAUAUUUUUUAAUAUAAUAAAUUAUAAAAAAUUAUAGUAUUUUAAUUAUUUAUAAAAUAUAUUUAUUUUAAUAUAAUAAAAAAAAAGUUAGAUUGAAUGGGCGAGGCAAGAUAAGUAUAAGAAAUUUGCGUACCAUUAAGACUCUCUUCCACAUGCCACGUCUCCAGAACCUUCCCGGUGACACUGCACAACCGUUGGAUCAUACCUGAGGCACGUGUCAGCAGGCAACCCAAGAUCACAUGACCUAUGAAGUUACCAAAUUAUGCUCACCCUCUUCAAUUUUAAAUAUCAUUUAUCGCUUAUUUAAGCCACAAACGCGCCAUCGGCAUCCUCAAUUAAGAAGGAAAGACAACCCAGAGUCAGAUUCUCCAGCCUCAGCUCUCUCUAGAACCGUCGUCUCUCUUCCUUCCCAUCCACUCUAGCACAUUCUCGCUCACAUGGCUCCUGAAAUCAUCUCCGCUUCGGGAAAACCGUCCGGAUUUUUGAAACCGGCUAGUCUUCCGGACAGAGCAUACGUGGCCUUCUUGGCCGGUAACGGGGACUACGUGAAAGGUGUUGUUGGGUUAGCCAAGGGGCUGCGGAAGGUGAAAUCCGAUUACCCGCUUGUGGUGGCGGUGUUACCGGACGUGCCGGUGGAGCACAGCCGAGAACUGGAAUCCCAGGGGUGCAUCGUCAGAGAGAUUGUGCCGGUUUACAAGAACCAGACCCAGUUCGCCAUGGCCUAUUACGUUAUCAAUUAUUCAAAGAUCCGUAUCUGGGAGGUACGUGAUAGUACUUUCUCAUUACCUCUAUCACUAUUUUUGUCAUUUUGCAUGAAUCUUUGCAUGAUUUGUAGAUUUACAUGCCAUUUUUGUAUGAAUCAGUUCGUGGAGUACAGUAAGAUGAUAUACUUGGAUGGGGAUAUUCAAGUCUACGAUAACAUUGACCACCUCUUUGAGCUACCAGACGGACAUUUCUAUGCAGUGAUGGACUGUUUCUGUGAGAAAACAUGGAGUCACACGCCACAGUACAAGAUUGGAGACUGCCAACAGUGUCCGGAAAAGGUUCAGUGGCCGGCGGAGCUGGGUCAGCCGCCUUCACUUUACUUCAACGCAGGCAUGUUUGUGUUUGAGCCCAGCCUCUCCACCUAUGAAGAUCUCUGGGAAACCCUCAGGAUCACCCCUGCAACCCCUUUUGCAGAGCAGGUAAACACAUAAGCUUUUGCUGAUGAUAUUCUUCCAACAUAAUCCGGUUGUGGUUCUGGGAUUUUGUUAUUUAGGAAAAUGUGUAUGUGUUUUUGGCAGGAUUUCUUGAAUAUGUACUUCAGGGAUGUAUAUAAGCCUAUUCCUCUGGUCUACAAUCUUGUCCUUGCCAUGCUGUGGCGGCAUCCUGAGAAUGUAGAGCUUGAUAAAGUGAAAGUUGUUCACUACUGUGCAGCGGUGAGUACCACAGAAGAUUGAUUUUGGGAGAUUAAUUCGUAAGUUAUAACCUGUGGUGGUUAUGUAUACUAAUACAAAUAUUAGUGAAUGGUAUACCAGGGGUCGAAGCCAUGGAGGUACACAGGGAAGGAGGACAACAUGCAGAGAGAGGACAUUAAGAUGCUGGUAAACAAAUGGUGGGAGAUAUACAAUGACAAGUCAUUGGAUUACAAGAAGACGAGGAUGAUGGCGAAUGAUUACAGCAGCGUUUUGCCGGGGGAGCAGGUGAAUUUGGAGCCUUUCAUUGCAGCUCUUUCCGAGGUGGGGCAUGUUGAAUUUGUGAGAGCCCCUUCAGCAGCCUAGAAGAGGCCAGUACUCUCGUGGAGAAGAGGAUCCAAGGGGCAUGCAAUCAGAUGACCGGUGAAUUCCCAUUUUCGAGAUGAAAAUGUUGGUUAUUUUUGUGGUUUGGGGGUUUGUCACGGUUAGUGAAUUUUUACGUUGUUCACUUGUAAUAUCCUUAAUGAUUGCCCACUACAAGGCAAAUUACUUCCAGUCAUACAUAAAAUCUCAAAGACACUCUGUUUUAUCUGCGGUUUAAGCCUGUUUUAUUUGUUCUUUUUUUCCCUCCUUUUUCUUUUUAUUUAUUUAUUUCUUUGGGAAAUGGAAUUGAAAUACGUGGGACAAGAAUCGUAUAGGCUUAUUUGAGACAACAAAAGCGGACCUGUUACGGUGAAGGCAAGUUGAUUAAGUACGGUACAGCAGGGCACUUAAUUAUGGCUAGGUUAUAUCCCAACUUGAGGGGUAGAAAAAAAAGGGUAAUAUUAAAAUGAGAACCAAUUUAAAAAGCAUUUUUUAAUUUAAUUUAAUUUUAAUUUAUAUGUUAUUUAUAAUUUUGAAGUUAAUUUUAACUUAUUUAUUAAGAGGAAAUUUUAUUUUUUAAAAACUAUACUUAUAAGAAGGAUUAAAUGUACAUAAAAAAAAUAUUCGUAUGUGAAAAGAAAAGAAAUAUUGAAAAAUAGUAAGAAAACUUUAUUUUAGGCAUAAUUACUGAUUGGUUGAAAGUUUUCAUUAUCAUUCCCUUUGACAUUUCUUUUUAACAUAUAAGUGAUUUAAUUUGAAUGGAAAGUUGGAUACUAGAUCUUUAAGGAUAAGGAAGGAGAUUAAUUUAAUCAGAUUUCUUUUUAUCUCUUUUACUUUUUUAAAUUAAAAGAAAAUAAAAAAAAUAGAGAGAAAAAAAUAAAUAAAAAUAAAAAAUAGAUUUAAAAUUAAUAAAUUAUUUUUAUAUAUAUUUUAAAACUCAUUUCACUUAUUUCCUAUAUAAUUUUAAAAUAUAUAAAUUAUUAAUUAAUUUUAAAUAUAUUUAAUUUUUUUAUAAUGAAACUAAAAAUUUAAAAAAUAUUAUAUAUAAGGGUGGAGGUUAAUUUAAUUACAUCUUUUCUUAAUUUAUUUUAAAUUUUUAUCUGCUUAGUUUUAAUAUUGGGGGAAAAUACUAAGAAAAGAAAAUAAAAAAUAAAAAAAUAAAAAAGAAAAUUAGAAAAUAGUUUUAAAAUUAAUAAAUUAUUUUUAUGUGUUUUUUCAAAGUUAUUUCACAUGUUUCUCUAUGUAAUAUAAGGAUUAAAUAAAUUUUAAAUUUUUUAAAUUUAAUUAUAAUUGAUUUUUUGUAUAUAACAAAAUUAAAUAUAAAAAAAAUCAUUUUUCUUAAUAUUUUUUUUUCUUUUUUUAUUGUUUUUUGUUGAGUAUGCAGAAGCUCUCAUUUCACUUAUGUCGGCAAAAACAUCAUUGUAAAUAAAUUAAAAAAAAAACAUAAAAAAUAAAGCAAAUCACAUAAAAGGUACAUAAAGUUUUAAUAUGAUUUGAUCAAUUAUGACUAUUUUCAUCAAUGAGAAAGAACAUUUUAUCAUAUGAUAGAAAAUAUUACAAAAAACAAAAAUCUAAAAAAAUACAAUUACGAUAUCUCUAUCUUAAACCAUGAACCGUUUUACUUCAUUAAAUGUUUUUUUUCAUCACAUUUACUUCCUAAUAAACCCUCUUUCUCUACAUGAUGUCUGUCAUUUUUUCUCAUAUUUUUAUUCCAUCUCUCUCAUAACUUUUUUUUAAUAUAAAAUAUUUAUAAAGAUAUUUCUAUUAACUUCAUAAAAAUCUAAUUAUUAUCACAUAUAAAUUAAAAAAUAUUAUAUAUAAUAUUUCUUUUACAAAUAUAUUCCCCAUCACUUUCCCGCCAAACAUAGGAUAAACGAUGCUCUUUAUGUCCUAAUCUUUCCAAACUUUCAAGUAUUCUUUUACUUAGAAAUUACAAAUUUGAUACAAAUGGGGCCACCAUUUGAGGGUCCAAUCCCUCCAGCCAGAUUUAUAGGUGAGUUUAACUUGAAUUGAAAAAGUAGGAAUGUAAAAAUACUGGGAUUGACAUGAAUUCAAGAUCAGAAAACCCCCGAAAGCCAAAUCCAGCACAUUAUUGAUUUAUUUUUAUUUUAUUAUAAUAUAAAAAACAUAAAUUAUAAAAAAACACUAACUUUCUUAAUUUUUAAUUACAUUUUAAUUAUUAAAAUAUCUUUAAUAGUUAUAGUUAAAGUUUGAGCUUAUGAAUAAUUAUUAAUGUUAAAGUAAUAAUUAAUAAUUUACAGUUUUGACACCUUUUUGUUUUUUGACUUGAAGAAAAAAAAUAGUAGUAACUUAUAUAAAAAAUGAAAAAUUUUAUUAAAAAAAAUUAAACUUAUUUCAUGUCUUUAAAAAUUACUUUAAAAAAUGUAAGUUAAAUAGAUUUCAAAAAAUAUAAUUUUUCUUUAAUAUAAGUUGUUAUUUUUUAUAUGUUGAAUAUAACAUGAAAUAGGACAAGGUAAUAUAUCAUAUCUAAUUUUUUUAUUGGUAAUAUUAGGGGUGAAACUUGUACGGAUUGGUUUGACCCAAUUGGAACCCAACCCAAUGUUUGGGUGAACUUAGGCAAAUAUUUCCAUUACUUGAGUUAAACUUGAAUUAAGUUUUUUCAACUCGAAUUCAAUUUGAAUUGGAUCCAAGCUAAGGUUUAAAAAACUCAAGGAUAACUCGAACUUGAUUUAAUAUUUUUAUGAUAUUUAUAAUGUUAAUGUUUAUUAUUUUAAAUGAUAAUAUUCAUUUUCUUUUUAAUUUUGGAAGAAAAAAAUAUCAAAUUAUAAUUAUAUCACAUAGUUAUUACUUUUUAAAAAAGAUAUAUAAGUUUAUUUUUACUUUUUUUUUAUUAUCUUGAAAUUUUGUGCUAUUUAUUAUUUAAAUUUUGAUAUAAAUAUAUAGAAAACAAGUUUUUAAAAAAAAACCAUUAUAGAUGAAUUUUAAAUCUUUCAACACAAUGAAUCCAAAUAAUUCGAGUCUAACUCAAUCAACUCGAGUUUAACCAGUCAACUCAAUCAACAUGAGAUCAACCUGAAUUUAGAAAAAUAAGGUUAGGUUAAGCUUGGGUUAAGUACUUUGGAUUAGAGGACGAGUUAUGUUGAGCUAUUAACUCAACCAACUCGCCUAAGUUGUCGUCCAAGUUGCAACCCCAAGUAAUAUUUUAGGAUAAGUUAUUUUACCAUAUUUCAUAUAUUAUAUCCUAUAUUUAACAAAAUAGGAUAUUUAACAAAAUAUGCGUUUGGUAUAAAAUAGGUAGUAAGAUACUAAGAUAUAAUGUCUUUUUUCUCUUUUUAUUUUUUUUCUUUUAUAUAUAUUAAUUUUAAAUAAUACUCUUUAUUUAUUUAUUAUAAUAUAAUCUUACUCUAAUGGACACUACAAUACGUUGUAUAGAUCACCUAGUAAAAUGAAGACAUAAAAUCAAAUUAAAAGUGUGUUCAACAAUUAUUUUAGAAAGUAUUUCUAAUUUUUUUAAGAUUUUAGUAUUAAAUAUAUUAGAAACAUUUUUUAAAAUCAUUGUGAAACACAUUCUAAUUUAUAUAUUUAAAAAUCAAUUUUAUAAAUUUUAAAAUUUAAGUUAUUAAAAUUCUUUUGAUGUCUUAAUUUUUUAAAUAAUUUUUAAAACUUUUAUUUAUUUUUAAAUAAAAGGAAAUCUAUUAGUUUUUGGAUCUUCCCAUAUUGUUUACCAUUAACAGCCAUGAGGCGUUACCUCUUUUUUUUUUUUUUUUUUUCCUUAAAACCCAAGAAACAUUAAUGGUAGAGAGACUGGGAAUGAGAUAUAUUUCCAGAAUCAUCAGUAAUCUCCCCUGAAAAUUCUUGCUUAAUUUACUUAUUUAAAGCCUUCUGUGGCCCUAAUCUCUGGCAAUUCGCCGAAGAAAGAAGAAAUUAAGGAAAUGGCUUCCUUGAGUGGGGUACUGUUACUUGUUCAUAUCUCCCUCAUGGCCACCACUCUCUUCUACUAUCCUUCACAUGCGAUCGGACAAGACGUCGUCGAGCAGGUAUGCCAGCAAACGGAGGACUAUCAAUUCUGUUUCAAUACCAUCCUCAGAGAUCCUCGGACUCCGGCAGUUAACAUGGAGGGGCUGUGCCUCCUCAGUGUGGCAAUAACCAUAGACCACGUUAGGGAAGCGGUGGAUAAAAUACCGGGGCUGCUGGAGAAAGCUACUGAUCCAGUGGACAAGCAAAGAAUGACGACUUGCCAAUCCAACUAUGGAGCAGCGGCGGGGGACUUCCAGAGGGCGUGGGGCUCGGCUUCUUCAAAGGCUUUCCAUGAUGUGCUGGGCUGGGUUCAGAAGGGAAGUGGUCAGGUUAUAAACUGUGAAAAUAUAUACCGGCAAAGUCCGCCGAUCCGUGAAUCUCCCCUCACAGUUGACAACCACAACGUGAUUAAAUUAGCAGGAAUUACUUUGGUUGUUCUUGGUAUGCUUGGUGUUCGUUGAAGAUGGUGUGUCUUCCUUGAGGUAAAGCUCACGUUCUUGGAAUUAACGUACAAUAAAUGUGGAAUGCAAUACUGUUGGUUGGUCAAUAAAAACUGAUGUGAAUUUACUACUCAUUUUUGGAGAGUUUGAGGGCUCACAAACAUUGCAGUGGCUUGAAUUUGUUUCUAGAUAUGUACUUGGAAAAAGGUUAACAAUAUGAAAUCAAGGAUGAAGAGGCCGACCGCCGACAUUCUGCAAAGUCACGCCUUGAAAAAUAUUCUUUUUUUAAAAAGUAUUACCAUAAAGAGUUGUACCGUACAAAUAAUUUUAUUUACAUAUUUUUUUUAAUCGUUUUAUUUAUUUUUAUGGGACUCCCAAAAUUUAUGUAUACAAUGUUUUUAAAAUUUUAUUAAAAAAUAAAAAUGAAAUAAAAUUAUAUAAACCACCUUGUGACUAUUAAUUUAUAUGAAUAAAACAUUAUCUCAUAUUUAUUUGAAAUCAAAUUUUAUUUUAAAAGUAUAAUAUAAUUAUUAUAAGUUAAUAUAUUUUUAUAUUAACAUAAUUAUUUGAUUAAUUGUAAAUAUAUUAGAAAAUUUUAUUGAAUUUUCUUAAUCAAACCCGUCUUAAAAAAUAUAAAAAAUAAUUUUUGGUUAUAUUUUGGGAACCAUACCAACAAACAAUUGAUAGCUACUUUUAACAUGUCAUAUAGAAUUAGAGUAGCGUCUCUUCUAUGUGAUACCAAGGGGAGGAGAAUGCUAAUUAACCAGCCCAUGACUUUGUUGCCCAAAAAAAAUCCAUACUCGAUACAGCAAGAAACUCACGCCGCAAGAAAUUGAUAUUUAAGAACAAAAUUUUGGUCACAAAGUAAAAUUUCAUCACUAAAAGUAAUUGUUUCUGACAACAUUCUAACUAUGAAAUCUGACAUUGGUUGCCAAUUUUUCUCAUAAAUUAUUUGAUAAGAACAUUUCCAUCAAUCUAUCAUUAGGGGUGUUUGGCAAUUCAAUUUAAUUUAAGUUAUCAAGUAAAUUAAGUAUGUUUAGGAAAAUAACUUAAUGAUGUAGCUUAAAAUAAAAAAUAACUUUAAGUAAUAAGUAAAAAUAAUUAAUUUAUUUUUAAGUUAAUAUCUUCAUUUUACAUUUUUACUCUCAUGUGUCCUAAUUACUUUUUGUAGACCCCUUUUAUGAGGGGCCCGGGGGGGAGAGUUUUUUUCUCUCUUCUGGGCAUUUCUCUUUUAAACAAAGGGGGGACCACCAGAUGGGAGGAGAGAAAGAGACAUGGCAGAGGCCAUGCUGGAGUUGGAGGAGCCCAUACCUGCAGAGAUGAACAGGGAAGCAGGUAAUGGCUUGCCCGAGAAGGUAGGAAUCGGCUGGAGGGAGUGAAGCUUGAAGAAGAAAAAGAGAAAAAGGAAAGGGGGGAAGAUCGGAAAAGAGGGAACGCGGGCAGCAGCGUUUUUUCUUUUUGGGGGAGGCGACGACUAAAAAGAAAAGGAGGAACAGAGAGAGAUGGUGAUCUAGGGGAAAGGAGGCUACAGAGGGGGAAGAAGAAGUAGAGAAUCUGGAUACAGAAGUCUCUUUGGAAGGGAAGUUUUUUUUCAGGUGCGCGUACUAGACUACAUAUUUAUUGUGGUUGAUUUCACUAGUAUUAUGGUGAUUGUGAUAUGAAUGAACGAUGCUUUUUUUUCUUCAUAUGCUACUUGAUUGAGAGUGAUUUAAUUCCUCAUAGCUUUCCUAUUUGCAUCUGAGUCACAUUCUUGGAUCUCGUUUUCAUCUCAUUCUUCCCACCCGUUCAUUGGAUGCUUUGUUUUAUUUUUCCUUUUUAUGCUUGCUCCCUUCUCGUUUAUACUCUGUUCUCGAUAGUCAUUUGUAUCCUCAAGGGGAAAGGGUUUUUGGAGACGGGCAGCAGUUGGGAGAUUUGAGGGGGAAGAAAUCUGGAAAAAGAGAAAAAGGAAAGAGGGGAAGAUUAUUUUGAGGGCGUUUUGAGGCUGGCGUUUAAGGAUUUGAGGUUUUGGAAAAGAAGGGAUUUUUUCAGAGGAAGAGAGUAGAGGUCCGGAUUUUUAGAAAGAAAAAAACCAAAGCUGAAAGGGGAGAGGGUGAUAUCUGGAGAGGAGAAAAACAAAGAAAAGGGAGAUAGAGACAGUCUGAGGGAGACGGAAAAAAAGCUGUGCUUGGGAGGAGCCUUUCAGGUAAGAUUUUUUUUGUAAACUUCACAUCUCUUUUUCUCUCUUAGGUACAGUCUUCGAUCUUCAUGCUCACUGUGGGGAUGAGGAAUUCGUUGUUUUUUUGUAGAGAGAGAAAAGAAUUGGGCGGCUGGGGGAUUAUAAGACAGUGGGAUGCUUUUUAAAAGUUUUUAAUUCAAAUUGUUUUUUUCUAGCAAGGCAUUUGGGUUCGUGCCUAUUUUUUUACUUUGAGUAAAGCUCUCAAAGCCAUUUAUAUAUAUUUUUUUAUUAUUCCUUUCUUGCGUGGAAAUCAUAACAUGGCAGAAGACUUUUUGGUGGGCUUGAAUAUUUAUGUCCAUUUUUCUUUCUUUUGCUUUUUGGCGAACACGUUUUCACAAAUUGAAUUCUCAAAACAACUUUCAAAAUUUCAGUUUUUUUUAAUCACUUCAAUCUUCAAAUUAAUUUUUCAAAAAUUCUAAUACCCAAAUUUAAUUUCUAAAAUGUCAUCUUAAAAUAAAUCUUUCAAACAAAUUCUGAUUUCCAAAUUCAAUUCCCAAUUUCUGAAAUUCUAAUUUUUCGACUUUCAAAUUUAAUUUUCAAUUUCCAAAAUUUUAAUAUUCACUUUCAUUUAUUUAAUCAUUACUAUUUUUUGUUAUGAUUAUUAUUAUUCUAUUUACUUAUUUAUCUUAAAAUUCCAUUCUUAAACAUUUUUUCUCAAAAUUUCAAUUUUUGAACUUAAUUUUUAAUUCCCAAAAUUCCAAUUUUCAAAUUUAAUUCCCAAAGCUCCAAUUUUCAAAUAAAUUCCAAAAAUCCAAUUUUCACGUGAACAAUUUUAAUUCUAUUCCGGUUCUCAAUUUUUCUUGGUUUUACAUAAGCAUGAAUGUCAUUUUCAUAAUUUCAGAACAAUGGAAUUUGUGAGAUUAAUUCGUGCAAGAUCAAUCGGGCUUUGGUGGGGGCCCCACAUACGUGAUUUUAUGAUUGAUUGAUUUGUUUGUCACGCGCAAUUUAUUUAUCCUGCUCUCCGACCUGCAUGCUAUUAUUUCUUAAUUAUGCACUAACCUCUCUCUUGAUAGCGCAUGGUGGCUCGUCGCCCAGGUACGCACUUACUUUCACUCUGGUAAUUGUCUAAGCAUAUUUUGAUUCUCACGUGUGCAUGAUUUAUUCUGGGUACUCAUUGAUCUACUCGUCCACUGCCCUGAUUGCUUCAUUUUAUUAGUAGAGACCCGUUUUUAGGGACUUAAAAGGGUGCUACGGUUUUUACCGUACCUUCCUGAUAAGUAACCUGACCUCCGAACCCGAUCCGGUUUUUCGCAGACCGCCUUUUCCAAAAUAAAGAGUCACACUUAGGGUUUUUCUUUCUUAUUUUGUUUACCCUUUAAAAAUAAAACAAAAAUAAGUGGCGACUCCAAGUCAUUUUCAAAUAAUCAAUAAAAAAAUCAUUUUUCAAAUAAAAAUCGAGCUCGCCAUCGAGUGGGAAACGCAUGAGCACGAAAUGCGGGGUCCACACUUUUAUAAGUUUUUUUGCUACUCCAUGAUAUCUAUUGUUACUUGAUCCCCUUUACCUUAAUUAAAAUUUAUGAGAAUAAAUUUGUCAAUAUAAUGAUUUAAAAUAAAUUUUAAACUAAUUUUAUCAAAUAAUAAAAAUUAAGUAAUAAGUUAUAAGUGAAUAAAUUAAGUAUAAUUUAAUUUAAAAUCAAUUCAAUUUAUUAAGUAAUAAACAUUAAGUUUUACCAAAUGCCCUUUUUUACUAAUGAUAUAUAAUUCCUUCUUAACUGUCAUCAAGUUUUAAUUCAAUAUAAAGUUUCUAAUAUUAUAUAAUUUAAUAUAAAUAAUUAAUAUAAAAUUAAAUUUUAUCAAAAAAAUUAAAUGAUGUAUAAUUUAAUAAAAAUAUAUAUUUUUUAAUUUUCAAAAUUGAAAUAAAGGAAAACCAACUUUUUAAUAAAAUAUCCAAUAUAAAAUUAUAAAAAGUCAAUUUUAUAAACAUGACUAUUAAACAGAUCUUACAAAUACAAAUCUGAACAGUUUUUGGAAAUCCCAGCCAUCUCAACCUUAAGAAUACAAACCUCAAUCGUGCCAUUAACAACUGGGCUUUUUUAACUUUUGCGGCAAUUUUAAAAAAUUAUAAUUAAAAAAUGGUAGUUUUGAAAAUAUUGAUAGAUUUACGGUAGUUUUGGCCACGUGGAAGGUGUCUUUUGAAGAGACACCUUCCACAAUUUUCAAAAUCAUGAAAGAAUUGAAUUUAAGCUAAAGGUGUCUCUUGAAGAGACACCUUCUACAAUUUCAGAAAAUUUGAUUUAUAUUAAAGGUGUCUAUUGAAAAAACACUUUCCACGUGACAAAAAAUCUAAUAUGUAUUAAAGGUGUCUCUUGCAGAGACACUUUCCACGUGGCAAAAAAUCCAAUAUUCAUUAAAGGUGUCUCUUGAAAAGACACUUUCCUCAAAAAUUUGAAUGUCUUAUAAAUUUGAUUUUAAAGCUAAAGAUGUCUCAUGAAGAGACACCUUCUACAAUUCCUAAAAAUUUUAAUUUAUACCAAAGGUGUCUCUUUAAGAGACACCUUCUAGAAUUCCAAAAAAUUAGAUUUAUAUUAAAUGUGUCUCUUGGAAAGACACUUUACACAAUUUCACAAAAUCCAAUAUGUAUUUUAUUUGUGGAAAUGAUUUUUAAAGCUAAAGAUGUCUCUCUUUAAUGUAUGAAAAUUGUGGAAAGUGUCUCUUCAAGAGACACUUUCAGUAUAAACCAAUUUUUUUAAAAUAAUAGAAGGUGUCUCUUCAAGAUACACCUUCAAUAUAAUUCCAUUUUUUGGGAAUUGUGAAAUGUGUCUCUUGAUACCUUCCAUAAUUUUAAAAAUAUUGGGUUUAUACUAAAAGUGUUUGUUCAAAAGACACUUUCCACAAUUUCCAUUCAAACAGUGGAAAAUUUUGAAUUUAUGCUCAAGAGACACCUUCCAUAAUUACAAAAAAAAUGGAAUUAUAUUCGGACACCUUUCAUAAUUUUUAAAAAAUUGGUUUAUACUGAAAGUGUCUCCUUGAAUUUAAAUUUCAAUUUCAAUUUCAAUUUUGUUGCAACCCCCGUUUGAUUCCCAAGUUUGUGCAAUCCCCGUUUGAUUCCCAAGAAAAUCCAUCCCCCAUUUGCUUUCCGGGAAAAUCCAUGGAAAACCCCCUAAAAAAACAAAUUUUCAAUUUCAAUUUUUGUAGGUACUAAUCUAAUCAGGUUAUUAUUUUUUUAUUUUGUUGCAACCCUCGUUUGAUUCCCAAGUCUGUGCAAUCCCCGUUUGAUUCCCAAGAAAAUCCAUCCCCCAUUUGCUUUCCGGGAAAGUCCAUGCAAAACCCCCUAAAAAAACAAACAAAAAAAUGUUUUUUUUUUUGCUCCGUGCUUUCUGGAUCUGUCCAGGGGUCUCUUUGCUUUUGUGCCAUUGGAUUUAAAUUUCACAAACCCUAAAUCCACGAUUUUUGAGCCACGUUGAAAAACACAACCUUUCCCCUCAAAUCAUGAUCACCUUUCUCCUCAAAUCAUGAUCAUAUUACCAAAUAGCUUAUGUUUUUUAAUAAAAAAAAAUUGGACAGAUACCCUGUGCGCGGGCUGAAUUGGUAGGAAAUAUUGGGAAAUUUUUUUUUUUUCAACUUUCCCACACUUUCUUGGCAACCAAACAGAAUCACAACAAGCCAAACCACAAAAAAAAUUAAAACUUUCUCCAUUAUUUUUAGUCUACUCAGUUUCAUUGUAAAAAAAAACAAAAACUUUAUUUUUUUUACAACUUUCCCACACUUUCUCGGUGACCAAACACAACCACACCACCAAAUAUAACCACAAAACUUACAGAAAACACCGGGGACAAUGGUUUCUCAGAUCUGCACUUCACUUCCUUCCUAUUGGUGUUGAAGCAAGGAUCUCCACCUCAUGAUCAGCGUGCGGGAUAGUGGGUUUUCGGGCAGAGGAGUUUUGAUGCAGAGAAGAAAAACGAGAAGGGAAGAGAAGAAAAACAGGAAGGGAAAUGGAAAGGGGGGAAUGAGUUUUCAUAUCUAUCCUACGAUGUUAUCCUACGUGUUCAAAAGUGCCGUAGAAUUGGAAUUAUUUUCCAAACUAUGGUAUUUUAAAUAUUAUUUUUUUUAAUUGCAGUAUAUUUAUCAAGAAUCCAAGAGAUGGCUUGCUUGACUAGCAUACUCCGCCUUGUCCUCCCUCUCCUGGCCGCCGCUCUCUUCUACCACCCAGCAAACACAGGCGUUCACGUGAAUGCAGACAAUCAAUUACUAAACCAGAUCUGCAACCAAGCCCAGAGCUACGACUUCUGCUUCAACGUUCUCGCCUUGGAUGGGCUUUGUCUCAUAUCUGUUGCAAUAACCAUAGACCGAGUGCAAAAUACUUCGGAUAUAAUUCCGAGUCUAAUCAAGCAAGCAGCGGGUCCAGUGGACAUUCAAAGACUCACCACUUGCCAAUCCAACUACACGGCGGCAGUGGACGCGUACACGAAGGCCUGGAGUUCAGCGUCGUCAAGGGCUUACUACGACGUACUGAGCUGGAUUCAGGUCGGAGCUAAUGAAGUUAUACACUGUGAAAAUAUUUACCGGAUGAGCCAGCCGAUAAGGCAGUCUCCCAUCACUGUUGAGAAUCAUGAUGUGGUCAAGCUUUCGGAAAUUACUUUGAUUAUUCUUAGUAUGAUCGAGAGCGGGUCUACUGGUUUAGAGAAAGAGAAUUUCUAACAAAUCCUCUCUAGGUUUUCUUUGGCUACGUACCUUCUUUCCUACCUCAGCUGAACUUGAACUUUUCCCUGAGGUGUGCCAUGGAUUUUAUUUUAUUUUUAUUAUAAUUUUGGAAUGGGCUUUAAUUUUUAGUUAAAGUCGAAACCAAAAAAUUAUUCUAAACAAGCCAUUUAUGGAAAAAAGCUUCAAAUAAUUUAGAAAGAACUUUAAUUCUCCAUGAUCACCAAACACAGAGAGAGAAAAUGAAAGCACUGACCUGACCUGAGGAGAGAGAUGAGAGAUUGUAGUCGGCUAGAAGAAGAGAAGCGAAGGACCGGAUUUCUAUUUAGUUCGGCGGGAGGGCUGGGGAUUUUGGGUAUUUCAUCUUUUCCGUUUGGUGUAACUUCCUACAGAAUAUACGUUUUUGUUAAAUAAAAAAUUCUAAAUAAGGUUCCCACUUCCCACUUCCUAUAGAAAAAUAAAAAAUUCGAUUACUUGUACUGUUGGUUUAUAUGAUUAUGUCAUUCAUGUCUAUCCAGUUUCAUUCUUUAUGUUUUGUUGGAUAUCUAUCCUUUAAUAUAUCUAAAUAAUGGAGAUUGAAAAUCGGAUAUUUUGUUGGGAUAUUUUUUUAUUUUUAAAAAUAAAAUAUAAUGAUAAAUUUUAUAUGAAAAAAAUAAUUUUUUUUAUAAAAGUAUAAAUUUAUCUUGUAUCUUUAAAAUAAAAUUAAAAUUAUUUUCUUUUCAUUGUCAAUAAAUAAGUAUUUUUAUAUUUGUAAACUUCCUAUUUUAUGUCCGAUGAUUGCAAUUCAAUAAUAUCUUCUUUUAUUUAAGAGUGUCAAGAUAGAAGAUUUUUUUAUUUAUUAUUAUUCUAAUGUCAUUUUUAUUUUUUUAUUAGGAAGCUUUCUAAUGACAACCCCACAAAGAAAUUAGAAUAAAGAUUUGAUGAUGAUUAUGCUUUUAAGAUAUUAUUUUUAAAUUAUAAUUAAUAUUCUAAUAUAUUUUUUAAUUCAUAAAUAGGACAGUUAAGAUUUAUUUAUUUUAUUAAACGGUUGUAAGGAUCUCUUUUUCAUUUUGAGUAGAUAUUACCUAUUUUGAGCCCAAUAAACCCUCAUGACUUUAAAGUAUGUCUACACAAUUCAAAAUAUAGGUUUGAAAAACUUCUUUAAUCAAUUUUUUUUUAUUAUAUGAUAUUAUAAUCAUUUUCAAAAAAUACAAUGUAACAAUCAUGGAAUACACUAAGAAUGUUGUAUUGAUAUGGAAGGAAGGGGAUUAUUAAUUUGGUAAGGCUAUCUAUUCUAUUGAUGAUACAAGUUGGGGAAUUAUUUGCUUUAUACUAACCAACAUUUUACUUAAUUCCUUUUAUAAUUAAAGGAUCAAAUCAAGGCGGUGUCAAAAGGGAUGAUGAAUAUUACACAUUGUUCGGAGGUCUUGCCUUAAUGAUACUUUGUAGUGUGAUUUAAAAAUAAUUUUUUAUUUUUUAAAAUAAAAAAUUAUUUUUAAAAGUAUAUAAUUAGAAUUUUUUUUUAUAAAUAUUUAAAAUCUAAAAAAAAUAUAUGUUCCACAUAUUUUCAUAAACUUAUUUUUAAAUUAAAAAAUAAAAAUAAUUUUUAAAAAUAAAUUUCAAAUACGCGGGAAAAUUCUAAACAAUAAUUUUUUUUUUAUUAUAAUUUUUUAUUUUAAUAAAUAAAUGUUGUUGGCAACGUUAAAAAAAGACCAAGACCGAUCUUUCUUAACCAUAAGAUUAAAGAUUGAGUGAAGUCAUCACGUCAACAUCACAAUUUUUUUAAAUGAUUUUCUUCCUUCUUAGUCCAACCGCCUUUCCUUCGUAGGCCAUUGAGACAAGAAAAGAUAGAAAAAGAAAAAAAAAAAAUCUAAACCAAGAAAAAAAACAACCAAUGAAUUGAAAAAAUAUCUUGUUACAUGUUAAAUAUAAAAAUUAUUCUUUUUUUACCAUAUUGAAUUUAAAAUUAUGAAAUAUAAAUUCAUUAAAAAAUAUGUAUGUUAAAUGCUUAUCUAGUAAAAAAUAUUUGUCAUGAAUAAAAAUUUGUAACAAGAUUUUGUAGAAAUUAUUCAUUUAAAAUUGAUAUUGUGAUUAAAUUGAUUUUUUAUUAUGAAUAUAAGAUUUAUACUAAAAUCUUAUGAAUUUUUUUUUGCCAUAAAUAUAUUAUGUGGUUAAACAUGAUUUUUUUACCAUAAAUAAAAAUUUUAUCACUAAAAGAACUUUUUUUUUAUAUAAAAAAAAAAAAAUCAUCACAAAAGUCUAUUUUUUGUCAUAAAAUACUAUUCAUGCCAAAAAAUACUGUAGCAAAUGAGAAAUUUCUUGUAAGGGAAAAAAUAUUUUUUGCAACCGGAUGAAUCAAUAUGUGGAGAAAUCACUUUUGGAAACAAAUAUAAAAUUUCAAACACAAGCAAACGUAACAUUAAAAUUAAUCUCUAAAGAUGGUAUGAUGUCACCAUAGUAAAUGCAUUAUGUAAUAAUUUUUUUACGAAUUUAUUGAGUAGAAGACAUGUUUUUAGAUGAAGAUAAAGUAAAAUAUAUAUGUUAAAUUCCUUAAAAAAUAUAAAGUAAAAUAUAUACAUGUUUUUAUGUAAUAAUUUUUUUACGAAUUUAUUGAGUAGAAGACAUGCUUAUCUAGUAAAAAUAUAUAUGUUAAAUUCAUUAAAAAAUAUAAAGUAAAAUUUAGUUAUCACUUGAUACUUUAAAGGGACAAUUGUGUUUUGGACCUAGUUGGACAAAAAAAUUAAGCUUUAGUGUUCAUUAUUUAACCCCAAAACCUAAAGGAAGUGUGAAAAUUGAGAAGAAGGAUAUUGAUUUUUUAUCUUCCCAAAAAUGACUUUUACUGAUUAUGAAAAAAAAAAGAGUAGAAAAAGAUUAAUUUAAAUUUUAUUCCUUUUGCAAACCUUAAUAAAAUUUAAUAUAAUUUAGUGAUUUGGAAAAAAAUACACUAUUUUCCAAAAUAAAAAAAAAAUUAUUAUUAUUUAAAAAUCAAACAUCUUGGAAA